UAACACGUGGGUAACCUGCCCAUAAGACUGGGAUAACUCCGGGAAACCGGGGCUAAUACCGGAUAAYAUUUUGAACYGCAUGGUUCGAAAUUGAAAGGCGGCUUCGGCUGUCACUUAUGGAUGGACCCGCGUCGCAUUAGCUAGUUGGUGAGGUAACGGCUCACCAAGGCAACGAUGCGUAGCCGACCUGAGAGGGUGAUCGGCCACACUGGGACUGAGACACGGCCCAGACUCCUACGGGAGGCAGCAGUAGGGAAUCUUCCGCAAUGGACGAAAGUCUGACGGAGCAACGCCGCGUGAGUGAUGAAGGCUUUCGGGU
This 319-nucleotide ribosomal RNA is filed under the name Bacillus sp. RZ5MS9. RNAcentral's name for it is "bacterial SSU rRNA". It matches the Rfam family "Bacterial small subunit ribosomal RNA", at positions 111 to 423 of the family's 1533-position model. The record is from RNAcentral. Lineage: Bacteria; Bacillati; Bacillota; Bacilli; Caryophanales; Bacillaceae.